GUGCUCGCUUCAGCAGCACAUAUACUAAAACUAAAAUGAUACAGAAAAGAUUAGCAUGGGCCCUGCCCAAGGAUGACACACAGAGUCUUAACACAAAAGGCAUAGGA
This is a small nuclear RNA of Suricata suricatta (meerkat), 107 nucleotides long. The record is from Ensembl. NCBI's taxonomy places the organism in Eukaryota, Metazoa, Chordata, Mammalia, Carnivora, Herpestidae.